Molecule: ribosomal RNA, 253 nt
Filed under: uncultured bacterium
Lineage: Bacteria
Description: partial 16S ribosomal RNA
Rfam family: Bacterial small subunit ribosomal RNA
Source: RNAcentral
UACAGAGGUGGCAAGCGUUGUUCGGAAUUACUGGGCGUAAAGGGCGCGUAGGCGGCCCGUCAAGUCCCGUGUGAAAGCCCCCGGCUCAACCGGGGAACUGCACGGGAAACUAGCAGGCUUGAGUUCGGGAGAGGGAAGCGGAAUUUCGGGUGUAGCGGUGAAAUGCGCAGAUAUCCGAAGGAACACCGGUGGCGAAGGCGGCUUCCUGGACCGACAUUGACGCUGAGGAGCGAAAGCUAGGGGAGCAAACGGG